UGUUAAUUGUGUGACAUGUGUUAGACUGGGUUUCAUUUGUGAGUGAUAACACAUACCUAAGUGUUAAGUGUACUCAUGUCUUCAUGUUUAGUGUAUGUGUGUAUCUAGGCUCACACGGGUACCUAUGUGUAAACAUGUUUGUCUCUGAAGGUAUGCCUGCUGACCAUGAUGUGUCUUUAUGCGAGUGGUCUCUACGUGUAGUCUGUCAGUGUCUUCACACUUGAGGCUCUGCAUGAGUGUGCCUUCCGCCAACUCUCUCUUGCCCAUCCGUCCCUUAGUCUCUUGCUAGCUGAGCACUGUUAUGCAUCCUGUGCCUCCUCUGUUUACCUUCUCUCAGCAAACACGUUUCUAAGCACGUGUCCCUCUGCUCUUAAGACUGGCCACUUUUGCUCCAUAGUUCUUUUUUUACACAAACGUGUUUUCUUCCUCCAACUCUCUACCUCAAACUUCCUCUGCCUACUCUCAUCAUAAUCUCAUUGGUAGCUCACUCGGAGGCUGAGGCUGGUAUUCCUUUAGCCUUGCCCUUCCUAGUUUCUAGUUCUAGCGGAUAAGCCCCAUCUUAGCCCAUGCUGACCUCCACAGUGUAUCACGUUUGUACUACUUCAUGACCCCUAUGCUUAGCCUGGAAUUAUAGGAGGUAGCAAGGGCAUUCAGAAGACUCAGUUGGAUACAGGUGUCUUCGGUGUUUACUGUUUUGUCUUAGUUCCUGAGUUGGGUGGGGUUUGAUAGGGAAGGGGUGGUGUAGUUAGAGAAUGAACUGAGGACCUUUCUGUCUGACUGACUUUAUUUUUCUCUUUGAAACCUACUUGUCAUCUUUUUUAUUCCAAGCUGACCAGUAAGUUGUAUUCGCUGUUCGUGGCUACUAAUAAAUGUGUUACUGUCC
Molecule: long non-coding RNA, 883 nt
Filed under: Mus musculus (house mouse)
Lineage: Eukaryota; Metazoa; Chordata; Mammalia; Rodentia; Muridae
Description: long non-coding RNA chr4:116988222-116989105
Source: RNAcentral